UCUGAAAAUUACCCUUUUUGAAUUCUUGCAAUGAUUGAAUUCCAGCAUUAAACUGAUUAAUUUAUUGUUUUCAUUAGAUUCCAGAACCAUUUUUCAAGAUUGUACUUACAAAUAAUAUAACAUACUUCAAGUUUUUCCAUUUAUUUUUCAAAAUAACCCAGAAAUAUAGAAUUUUGGCUGAAUUUAUUACUACCAGUACAACUAUUGAACAAUAGAUGGCAGGAUUCUGGCAACUACCCAUCGCCAUUUUUGACUUAAUAGCGCAUUAUCACAGCCUUUCAGUAUAAAAGUUGAUAUUUAGUUGUAGGUUUCAAAGAAGACAAUACCUACACCGAACGAUUACUGUUGAAUGCUCUGAUGAAAACGACCGUCAAUUGAUUGAAAAUUCUGGCCUUAAACUUGAAUGAAUGAGUGACACCGUAACAUCGCAGUUUGACGCUAAGAAUCAAGAUGAUGUGCUCAAGAGCAUAAUUGGCGAACGGCGUGGUUGGGGCAUGUCGUCGAGUGGUGGGGGCCAAAUGCCGGGGGGCGGUGGGGCUGGGGGUGGCUACCCAACUCACCACCUGCCUCCCACCGUACCCAAUCCCACCCCCACCUCCUCGCAGAGACUCAGACUGCCCCCCACUGCUCCUCCACCUCACCAGAUUAUGCCUCCCUGGAUACACUCGCAGGCUACAGGUCUAGGCUCGCUGCCGAGCAGCCGGCACACGUACUUUGGGUCGCCGCACCUGACCGCUGGGCGCCCAGCGUGGCCGACAGGCGCAACCGCCAAGCCAGCCGGGGCGCACCUGGGCGCUGCCAACCCGCUCUUCAGUCUGCAGAGUCUGCAGAUGAUGGUGACGGCCACCGCUGACCCCCCGCUCUACCAGCAGGAGACCAUGGACCUGUCUAAGGCCAGGCAGAACGGCAACCUGCCCAACGGCGAAACGGGAGACAGUGUCAGUGUGAUCGCCCAAAAUCCCCUACGAGACCUUACACCGCCUGAGCCCGACAAAAUCCCCAACUCCGAUAAGGCGCCUCCCCUCCCUUCGCCCGCCUCCCCGGAGCCGGCCGCUUCCGCGCCCCCUGUACCCCUCCAACCCGGGGUAGGGGUAGUGGUAGGGGUACCAGUCCUCCCCGAACACAAGCCCCCCACAAAACCGGACAUUGCUGCCGCCGCGCACACUCCCGACAACGUCGAGUCCAUUCUUGAAAACAUGUUUCGCAUCCAAGAAGACAAGCAGCUGACCCCUCCCCCUCCUACAUCUGUUACCCCUCAUUCCGUCAUCGUUCCACCCCCCACCACACCCCAUAAUAGUGCUAGUACUAGUUUAAGUAAAGACUUGGCUCCAGUGUGCUCGCCGCCCGAGAACAUUAACGAACAAAAACUUAUUGAAAUUCUCAAGGUCGAGGACACCGACCAAUCAGUCGAGGAAAGUAAAGAAGAAACGAAGCCGGUAGACGAAGUGAAGAAGAAGGAGGCGGAUGUAGUGAGUGAGACAAAUGUGGAGGACUCAACAAAGACUGACAGUAGUAGUAGUAGUGUAAAAAAUGAACCGGUGUCGAUAGCGUGUGAAGCAGAUGAAGCGGCGAAACCGGCAGAAGCUGCAAGUUCUUCGGUUGAGGAGGUUGUAAUAUCAGACUCAGAAGAUGAAGGUAACGCAACGAAAGAUUCGACGUCGUCGCCUGUUGUAAAAACAGAAAAAGUGAAAGACGAACCAGAUAGUAUGUUUACAGAGGUGGAAUCUGAACUGGAGAAGAUGUUUGCGGGCAUUGUGGAGCCGGGGAGUGAGGGGGACUUGUUGGCUGUGAAGGAGGAGACAGGGGAAGGGGAGGGAGAGAAGAAGCCAGAAACGAAGCCAGACAAGAGGCGCGGACGACCGAAGGGCGCUCUGUCCAGGCGAAGUUCGGACACCUCGUUUUCGGGAGUGGAGAGUUCUGCGAAAAAGCGCAAAGGCAAGGAAAGUGUGGACAAGAAAGGCGCGAAGAAAGUACGUGUUGAGGUUGGAAGUGAUGCUAAGAAAGGGCGGGGGACAGGUAGCUUGUCGGCGGCUGAUGUGGGAAAGUCACGUGGUCCGGUGGUGCACGUGGAGGGGUCACGUGACAAUCCGACGAGUGUGAUGGUGGUGAACGGCGGGUCACGUGCUUUGGACGACGACGAUGCCGGCGACGCCACCAAGGCUUCCUACCGCACCAAGCGCACCGCCAUUUUCCAAACCGAAGCUAAGACGCGCGGCCAAGGUGCUGGUCUGUACAGCAGCACGCUGUCACUACGCUAUGACUCGCAGACGGCUGACUCGACGUGGCUGUGUGUCCUCUGCAAACGCGGACCGCACUGCGAGCCGUGUGUCGGCGACCUGUUUGGCCCCUACCUCAUCACGCUUCCGCCUGCGGUUGCGGCCGCCACGCCGCCAAAUGACGCGCCCUGCGACUAUGAGCUGAGUGCCGAACAGAAGCGGCGCGCCGGCGGCAAGGUGGCCGCCGCUAGUCUGCGUGCCACCGGCGGUGCCGAUCAGUUCGUGCACAAGACUGCCAAAAAGAAACGCACAGCGUCGCUGGACGGUAUGAUGGGCGGGGUGGUGCCUGUGGCCGGAGGAGGGGGGGAGUGCGAGGUGUGGGUGCACGAGGCAUGCGCAGUGUGGGCUCCAGGCGUCUACAUGAUUGGCGCGCGUCUCAUCGGCCUACAGGACGCCGUAGCAGCUGCCAUCAAAACGCGUUGCAACCUGUGCGGUGAGCCGGGCGCGUCGAUCGGGUGUGUGACGCGUGGCUGCCGACAACUGUUGCACGUGGCAUGCGCGCGCCGCUCCAACUGGCAUCUAGACCAACACACGUUCAUCUCCAAGUGCAGCCAACACGCCAACUUCCUGCAAGCACACAGUGCCAAUGCAAACACGGAAUUUGGAAGAAGAUGAAACUGAUUAGUCGAAUUGAGAACUGUCAUCAAAUGUACUCUCUUGUCGACGAACAUAUUACUGCAGGUUGAUGAGGUUCUUAACCGCGGGAAGGUCAGCCCUUGAAAGUGGCAUCGAGAAUAAAAAUUUAUGUGAUGAACUCUUAAAAAAUAAGUUAUUGGAGAAUCGUUUUUAUUUUUAUGUAUUUAUGUACGUACAUGUGUAGACGAUAACUAAUUAUUAACGUAUGUAUUAUUUUGAUUAUAAAAUAUCGUACUUGUACAUUGUAGAUAUGUUUGUUAUAUAUUAUAUAUACGGAGAAAUUGGUAACUUCUUAUGCAGUGUUGUGAUAAAAAUUAUAUUUGUUAUAAGCCGCGCGAUUUAUUUAAAGGAAAACUAUUUAAUUUUAGCUGCUUGUGUAAAAUAGGAAAACGAAUGAUGUACUACAGUAUAAAUAUUUUGUAAAUCAGUUAGAUUUAACAAAUAAUCAAUGAAAUAAUUUUAGUCAGUUAUAAUGUAGAUUGUUUACUUCAGCAAUUUUUAGUGAGAUUGACACGGUAAUGAAGAAACUAUGUCAUACAAAAAAUAUAUUCCACUUCAUUAAAAUGCAGUAGCUCUCCUAAUGAUUGCGUCAAUUUGUUUUUUUGUUUCAUUUUUUUAUUUCAAUUGGGAAGAUGAAAAAUUGAGUUGUAAAAAAUAUAAACGUUUUAAAUAAACUAUUUAAAAAAAAUUGAACCACGUGUGUGGUAGCUCAUGUAAUAGGCUUUAAUUGGAUUGAAUUACAUAAAAUAUAUUGUAUAGUAUCGAGGGCUAGUGGUUCGUAUAACUGACUGCUAUUUCUAUUCAAGUUGUGUAUGUUUUAUAGUCAUUAUAUUCAAUAGUUAAUCAUAUCCACACAUUAGCAAUAGAAUUUCCCCCAUGAAAACCUAUGUAGGAAACUUUGGGAAUAAAUGUCCUCCUAGUCAAAUAAUGAUGAAAGCUUUUUAAUUUGAUCAAAUUUAUCCCAUAAAAUCCGCUAUAGUUACUGUUCAAUGAUAUCAACAUUAAUAGCAUAUCCUAGCGCUGUAAUUUUGAUAAUUUCGCAAAGAAGUGAAUAUGUUCAGUUUCAAUAUAAAAAUAAACUAAUAAUGAACUUCAUUUUUUUCUUAUUUCAAUACGAGAACAUGUUUUAUUCGUGAAGUCUAUAAAAAAAUCUCUGACAAUAUUUCAAUUUUAUUUGAGUAAUUAAUUUAUUAUGUUAGAUAUGAAUCCAUAGAUUUGUAAACAAACAUUCAACUAAGAGGACUCAUUUGUGAAAAUACUUCACAAUCACGUUUGGAAUUUAAGUUUAUGGCGUAGCCGAUGUUUUAGUAUAGAUUCCAAUAACUUCAAGUAAAUUCUCGUGUAGUUGUCAUUCUAGGCUCUUAGUAGUCUAUUCUAGUCUGUAUCUCCUUUCAGACAUGAACAAAAUUAAUUUCAUGCUAAUGAAAUGAUAUGCAGCAUUGCAGUGCAAUUUUAUGUGGCAAUUGAAAAUAAACUGAAAUCUUGAAGGUUGAAUAUUCAAUAUUUUAGAUCUUAUAUAAUAGGUCUUCCUUUGAUUGUUUCUAUCAGUUAGCUUGAAUCAAUUUGUCAUAACUUUUCCUUUCAAUGUUUGGAAUAGGAGGAAAAUUGUGACUUGAAAUCUCACUACGUCUUUCAUUCGUAGUCUCAAUACAUAUAAAGACAUUAUCAUCAUUAUUUACCUACUAAUUAGGUACUUACUAUUGUAUUCUUAUUGCAUUUAGUUUUAAUGCAAAUCCAAUAUAUUUAUCUAUUCUUUUUCUUGGUGGAUUAUGAGUUGAGAUUCUUGUCCGUUGAGGUCUGGUUGUGGUUGCUAAAAUUGGUAUUCCCUAUUAUAAGAUGAAUUGAUUUCAGUACGUUGCUUCCUGAGAAACAUGAACAUGAGUCGUUUCAUUUAUGUAGAACUAGAAGUCAAUUAUUGCUAUUAUCGAUAAAGUGAUAAGUAUUGCUAUUAUCGAUAAAGAUUAUUGCUAUUAUUGAUGAAAGUUUUUAAAUCAUGUUUUCUGUACUUUCCAAUAGAUAUGUGGUAAGUCUACCAACUUUCAGAUUAUAUUUAGGUUAUUGUGUCACGGUUUUUUUAAUCGUUUCAAAUAUUUUCAGUCUUGAUGUUGGCACCAUGCAAAUACAUGACUGAAGUGAUUCGUUUGUAAGUAAUAGAAGAGGAAAAUUUACUUUUAUUUGCUACUUUAUCUAAUUUCAAUAUAAUUUUUCGAGAAAUUUUCCACUUUUUUAAUUGAAAGAAAAUGUAACUUCUUAUCAAUUUUCAUUUUUAAUAUAAUAUUUUAAUGGGCAAGUUUAUGGAAAUAUUUUCGAGAAAUUUUCCACUUUUUUAAUUGAAAGAAAAUGUAACUUCUUAUAAAUUUUCAUUUUUAAUAAAAUAUUUUAAUGGGCAAGUUUAUGGAAAUUAAUAUUUCAUCUUUUACAGUUUUACAAUUUGAAAUGUUUGAUCCAACCUGUAUAUUUUUAUAGGUUUUUGGUAAGGAAAAUGCACUAUCCUACUUAUAACUACGCACAUAACACAUCACUGAAUCUUUAUCAGAGUUUUAUUUAUACAUUAUCAUAUAUCAUAUAUCAAUACUUAAUAUCUCUUAAAAAGAGUGAUCAAUGAAUCUUCCCAAUUUUCAAUAAGAUUCUGUGAAAUUAUUAUUUAAGAAUAUAUACUUUUAUAAGCAGCAUAUUGUAAGAUCUUCUGUAUUCCUUUACUGUGUUUAUAUUAGAUCGAUUUAUUACUUGUAGGUUUUAUAAUAUAAUUUUCAUAAAUACUUAUGUUUAUUUUUCUUAAAACCAAUUUUAAACUUGAGUAGCGUGUUUGUGAGAGUGUAAGUCGAGAAUUGUGUUACAGUUAUAAAAUUUGUGAUCAUGUCUUUUAUAUUUCUAUUGUUUUUUUACCGGUCUAUUCCUAUUAAAAACUUACGUUUUUACUUCCACGUUGCAUUUUCACUAUUAUACAUUUAUUAAUAGUCAUCAUUGUACCGGUAUCAUGAAUUCUAGUUUGAAGUUUGGCAUUCAAUUUGCUAGAUAAUUGAUCAAAUAAGUAAUAAUACUUGUAUACUACUAAUACUUGAUACAUAUGUACUGUCACAGCAGUACAUAUGUUUUCCAAUUAUAAUUGGAUAUGUAUAAAACAAUUUUGUUUCCAGUUUUGAUCACUUUGGUACGUUCCUCAGGGAUUGCAGAAAUCCCCAAGUAACAAUAUAUGGCUCGAAUAUAUUCCUACAGUUCAAUAAACAGUAAAAAUUUAUUCAGUAAAGCUGGAUUCCUACUUAUCAGUUAAAUUGGCAUGUACAGUGAGAAUAUUAUUCCCAUAACCUCUAAUGGGACUAUUCAUACUGGCUCGGUCGUGCUGAGAAAAUAUUCCAAUCAGAACUCAUGGAAAUUAUGUUUUCACUGUGCCAAUAACUUCCACUGAAACUGAUUCGCCUUAAAUUUUGCAAAAUUAUUCUAAAACUCGUUUUUGUAUUUAGUUGAAACACAGUUUAUUCUUUCAAUCAUUAUAAUAAUUUUAGUUUGCCAGCCCUUUGCGUUGUGAUAGUACAAGUGAUAAGCAUAACUACUUUGUAAACUCAUGUACAGUAUAUUUUAAAGCCGAUAGUGAUUCGAUUGACUAAAUUUGAUAUUUCCCAUCUGGUGCUGUGAGUGAUUUUUCACUCUUUUAUAAACUUGGAUUUUUGAAGACUUGUGAUCUUUUUGCUUUGAAUUCUUAAUGUUUUGUGGGAUUUGAUAAUCAUGAGAUGCUCAAACCAUGAACACCGAAUAGAGGCUUGUGAAUCAUUGCACAACCCAGAAAUUGCAGUAUUCUGGAUCAAAGUAUUUACACUUUCACCUGUUGACAUUACUAAUGUUACUCAUUCUAUUACGAAUAUAAUUAUUCUCAUUGAACAAUUGAAUGUUACAUCCAAAAAUAAUUGAUUGUGACUUAGGUGGUCAAAUUUUAUAGCUUAUUUGAUGAGUCUUGUAAUAAGUGUUUCCUGUAAAAUAUAUAAUAUUGGGAAACGUAUCUAUAAAUCAUUAAUGUUAAUCCAAUUAUCAAUAUCUGACAUCUGUACCGUUUCUCAAAGCAAUUUCGUCCUUGUUUGAAAAGCAUUUUUAAUACAUGUUUCACAUAAUAUAAUGAUUAUAAAUUGGAGUUUCAUUGUAAUGUAUUUGUAACUUAUAACUCAUUUGCAUGAAAGAAUAUUGUAAUGCUUGAUUUUUAGUUAUAUUUGAAACGAUCACCAGACAUUCUACUUGUAUGUGACGAAAAAGCGCAUCGACUUCUUGAAUUAUUUUCAUUAUUGUGGAAAUAAACCAAUUUAUAUUUUCAA
RNAcentral lists this unclassified non-coding RNA (7213 nucleotides) under Nilaparvata lugens (brown planthopper). Its description in RNAcentral is "uncharacterized protein CG5098, transcript variant X4". The record is from RNAcentral. Lineage: Eukaryota; Metazoa; Arthropoda; Insecta; Hemiptera; Delphacidae.